CCUUCUUUAGAACAGGUGCCCAAAAUUGCACAGCAUAUUCAAUAUGUGGUCUUACCAGUGAUUUAUAAAGAGGCAAAAUGAUAUUCUCAUCCCGAGAAUGAAUGCCCUUUUUCAUGCAUGACAAUACCUUACUGGCCUUAGCCACUGCUGAUUGACAUUGCACAUUGUUGCAUAGUUUGUUGUCUAUAACAAUUCCCAAGUCCUUUUCGUGUGUUGUUAUGCCUAAUUCGCUUCCAUUAAGG
Non-coding RNA from Pelobates cultripes (western spadefoot toad), 242 nucleotides. The record is from the annotation of a GenBank genome assembly. NCBI's taxonomy places the organism in Eukaryota, Metazoa, Chordata, Amphibia, Anura, Pelobatidae.